Molecule: non-coding RNA, 148 nt
Filed under: Pan troglodytes (chimpanzee)
Lineage: Eukaryota; Metazoa; Chordata; Mammalia; Primates; Hominidae
Source: Rfam by way of RNAcentral
GUCAGGUGUGGUGGUGCACACCUGUAGUCCCAGCUACUUGGGAGGCUGAGGCAGAAGAAUUGCUUGAACCUGGGAGUCGGAGGUUGCAGUGAGCCAAGAUCACGCCACUGCACUCCAGCCUGGGUGACAGAGCGAGACUCUGUCUCAA